Thalassophryne amazonica is the source of this 583-nucleotide long non-coding RNA. RefSeq lists it as uncharacterized. NCBI's taxonomy places the organism in Eukaryota, Metazoa, Chordata, Actinopteri, Batrachoidiformes, Batrachoididae. The record is from RefSeq and is a predicted model, not a curated record. The transcript has 2 exons.
UUUGGAGUCUUGCACAUCCUCCAUGAACCUAUCUGACUGCAUACCUGUUCACCAUCACCAAUGCUUUCCAAGGAAUGUUCAUCUUCAUCUUUCUCUGCGUCUUAUCAAGAAAGAUUCAGGAGGAGUACUACAGGCUUUUCAAAAAUGUGCCGUGUUGUUUUGAAUGCCUGAGAUGAAUUCCUGCACCCAAAGGCUGAUGAUUCACGCCAUGUGUAUAGUUGUCAUCUCUGCACUGCAGCUUUGCAAUAUCCUGUGACUCAAGCUCUCCUAUUUGGAAAAACAUAGAUGGAGGAAUUGUAAAGUACAGCUGGCUAAUAAAUAAGUACAUAAAGCUUGGUCAUCAAACUGUCUUUUUCUCUGUUUGAAAGACUGCUGCUGUGUGUACACAGCGUUCGUUUUAUGCUCAGGAUCACUGUGUACACACACAUAGCUUGUUCACCACCUAUCAAAAUUUAGGAUUUUUUCUCUUUUGAUCAGAAAUAUACUGCAAAUAACAUACACCCUGUUGUAUCAGUGCUUGUUGAUGCUUUUGUUGUGUUUAAAAUGAAUAUGUAAAUUAUUAAAAUCAAUGUGGUAGACAUCA